Molecule: long non-coding RNA, 1972 nt
Organism: Microplitis mediator
Lineage: Eukaryota; Metazoa; Arthropoda; Insecta; Hymenoptera; Braconidae
Exons: 4
Source: RefSeq, a predicted model, not a curated record
UUAAAUUUUCUACAUGUGCAUAUUUUUUAUUUUAUUUUUUUGCAAUUAAUUUGUUGAAAAACAAAAAUUCAAAAAUUGUUAAAUGUCUGCUAUUUUCAGGAUCAUGCUGCAUUCACACUCAUGACUCUGAUUAAAAUCUUAAAAUUAUUGAAAGAUGGCAGGAAAAUACAAAAUUUAGAUUUAACUCCAGCCUCGAGUAAAACUGACAAGAAAUUUCUGAUAUAUUUAUAAAUCUAUGCAAAAUUUUUUUGUGAAUAAGUUGAAGAACAUAUAUGUGUAUAAAUAUAUAUGAAACUGGACCUUGAAAACAAUGAAUCAUUUAAAUGCACAAUUGUAGUUUAAAAGAAGCCGCGUCAAUGCACUUUAUCAUCAAUAAUACGAUAGUAUAAAUUUUUCUAUUAUUAUUUAAUAUUUAUUUAUUUAAUAAAAAUAAUAAACAUAUAAAUUAAUACGAUUAUUAAUUUAGAGAUGAAUACGAGAAUUCAAAUGCAAAUUUUCAUACAGGAUUUCAGAGGAUGAAUCUAGAGUUGAAUGUCUUUAUUCUGCGUGUUCACUAGUUUCUGGAGGUCCACUUUACUUGAGAAAUAUUUAUUACGAUCACGAAUAAAAUUUGGUUAAUUUAGUGGUCAAAUUAAUAACCGUGAGCUUUUGAAUAUUUUGUGUAUAGUCAACAACCCAUGGUCGAGUUAAGGUAGACAGCAGGUUGGGGACAGGGGUUGCGAUAAAAGCCAGUGUAGGGAUGAAAAGAGAGAAAGAGGAGGAGAGAAAUGAAAGAAGAAAGAGAAAGAAGGGUUUGAUUGAGAAGAGAUCUGUCAAUUGCAGUGUCUGUAGACAAAGUUUACAUAACUGUAUUGGGUCAAAUUGUUGAAUGGCUCGUGCCCGCUAUCUGUUACAAUAUUAUGUAAUAUAAUAUAUUAAAUAUGUAUACAUCGAUAUAUAAUUGUAUAGAUUAACUGACAGCGAUACAUCUCAAUUGAUAAUUAAUUACCCAGGGUUUUGUUUAAAAUAUUAAUAGAUUCACUAGAAAUUGAGGAUGAACAGGACUCGGAUACUGAGUUUAACUUGAAUAAGAUUAUUUAUUUUAUUGUUUGUUUUUUUAAUUAUUAUUUUUUUUAAUAAGCCUUGAAUAGCGACACGGCUCAAUGAACAAUCUGACGUUGAGACAACAAAUUAACUGCCAAUUAUUGCUGUCGCGAACACAGCGGAUACUCUGAGUAUCGCCUCGUAUACUAAUUGUGAGAUAAAGAUGACCUAAGACGAGGGUUAAUUCGCGAUAUUUAUUUAGCCGUUGAAUCGAUAAAAUAAUUAGUUACAUAUUUUUGUAUUCUAUGGAGUAUAAAAUAAAAAUUAGAUAAAUAAAUAAAUGAAUGUUGGAAUGUGAUAACCUGCGACCACAAACUGACCGGUAUCAAUUUACCAAUCACAUGCUACUGUUGAUAGAGAAAACCUCGGAGAAUUCAGACGGGAUAAAAGUUAAGACAGAAUAAGAUUAUAAUCAUCUGAGAUAAUUCAAGUUUCAAAUUUCACGGGUUUAUUUUUAUUUGUAAAAUGAUAUUUAAAUAGUUAACAUUAAUCAUUAAUUAAAUAAUGUUAAUAUUAAUUUUAUAAAUUAAAUAAAAUAAAUUUAAAGGCUUAUUGCAUGUAUUGAAUAUAUUAUAUUUAGCAAUUAAUUAAAUUAAAUUAAAUUAACAAGACACAGAGGAUGACGUAGAGGGAUGACUGAUGCGCAUUUAUGGAAAGGGAGAAGCGUCAGUGAGCAGUGACUUCAAACGAUUGUACACUGCACCUCAAUAAUGAUGAUUGGGAUAAGUCCAUGAGGUAAACGGUUGCAUCAACUACCAUCACUACAAUAUAUCUCCCCCGAUUAGUUUGAUUAACGUUAAUUAAUACCGUCAAAAUGCACAACGUAAAUUAAUCCGAUAUGUGACCUCGAUUGAUUAUAUUAUUUAAAAUUUUCCUAUAUCAUUUUAUU